UACGGGGGGGGCAAGCGUUGUUCGGAAUUACUGGGCGUAAAGGGCCAGUAGGCGGCCAACUAAGUCCGACGUGAAAUCCCAAGGCUUAACCUUGGAACUGCGUCGGAUACUGGAUGGCUUGAAUUCGGGAGAGGGAUGCAGAAUUCCAGGUGUAGCGGUGAAAUGCGUAGAUAUCUGGAGGAAUACCGGUGGCGAAGGCGGCAUCCUGGACCGGCAUUGACGCUGAGUGAGCGAAAGCUAGGGGAGCAAACGGG
Molecule: ribosomal RNA, 254 nt
Filed under: uncultured bacterium
Lineage: Bacteria
Description: partial 16S ribosomal RNA
Rfam family: Bacterial small subunit ribosomal RNA
Source: RNAcentral